Triticum aestivum (bread wheat) is the source of this 90-nucleotide non-coding RNA. The record is from Rfam. NCBI's taxonomy places the organism in Eukaryota, Viridiplantae, Streptophyta, Magnoliopsida, Poales, Poaceae.
AGAGCAUCUGUGAUGUGCUAUAUUCAUCCUUGCACUUUGAGGUAUGCGUACCUAUGAAGAAAGCAUUGGGGAUAAUAUUCUGAGAUGCUU